CCUACGGGUGGCAGCAGUGGGGGAUAUUGCACAAUGGGGGAAACCCUGAUGCAGCGACGCCGCGUGAGUGAAGAAGUAUUUCGGUAUGUAAAGCUCUAUCAGCAGGGAAGAAAAUGACAGUACCUGACCAAGAAGCCCCGGCUAACUACGUGCCAGCAGCCGCGGUAAUACGUAGGGGGCAAGCGUUAUCCGGAUUUACUGGGUGUAAAGGGAGCGUAGACGGUUAUGUAAGUCUGGAGUGAAAGCCCGGGGCCCAACCCCGGGACUGCUUUGGAAACUGUGUAACUGGAGUACAGGAGGGGCAACCGGAAUUCCUAGUGUAGCGGUGGAAUGCGUAGAUAUUAGGAGGAACACCAGUGGCGAAGGCGGGUUGCUAGACUGUAACUGACACUGAGGCACGAAAGCGUGGGGAGCAAACAGGAUUAGAUACCCGUGUAGUC
RNAcentral lists this ribosomal RNA (440 nucleotides) under uncultured bacterium. Its description in RNAcentral is "partial 16S ribosomal RNA". It matches the Rfam family "Bacterial small subunit ribosomal RNA", at positions 338 to 795 of the family's 1533-position model. The record is from RNAcentral.